AGCGGAGGAAAAGAAACCAACAGGGAUUGCCUUAGUAACGGCGAGUGAAGCGGCAAAAGCUCAAAUUUGAAAUCUGGCGCCUUCGGUGUCCGAGUUGUAAUUUGAAGAAGGUAACUUUGGAGUUGGCUCUUGUCUAUGUUCCUUGGAACAGGACGUCACAAGGGUGAGAAUCCCGUGCGAUGAGAUGCCCAAUUCUAUGUAAAGUGCUUUCGAAGAGUCGAGUUGUUUGGGAAUGCAGCUCUAAGUGGGUGGUAAAUUCCAUCUAAAGCUAAAUAUUGGCGAGAGACCGAUAGCGAACAAGUACAGUGAUGGAAAGAUGAAAAGAACUUUGAAAAGAGAGUGAAAAAGUACGUGAAAUUGUUGAAAGGGAAGGGCUUGAGAUCAGACUUGGUAUUUUGCGAUCCUUUCCUUCUUGGUUGGGUUCUCCGCAGCUUACUGGGCCAGCAUCGGUUUGGAUGGUAGGAUAAUGAUUAAGGAAUGUGGCUCUACUUCGGUGGAGUGUUAUAGCCUUGGUUGAUACUGCCUGUCUAGACCGAGGACUGCGUCUU
This 548-nucleotide ribosomal RNA is filed under the name Debaryomyces hansenii. RNAcentral's name for it is "eukaryotic LSU rRNA". It matches the Rfam family "Eukaryotic large subunit ribosomal RNA", at positions 49 to 603 of the family's 3401-position model. Lineage: Eukaryota; Fungi; Ascomycota; Pichiomycetes; Serinales; Debaryomycetaceae. The record is from RNAcentral.